UGGACACAAAGCUUUCGGGUCAAAGGAUUCCUCCUGGCCUUUGCUCACCCACCUGAACAUAUGUGCCAAUCUGCAGUUGCAGGAGAAAGACAAUUCAGAAGGGAAUCAUCAGGAGCUUCAAAAAUGAGGCAGUUGGAAUCAAAGCAUGCAUCUGAAAUGGUUUCUUUUCUAGAUGGCUAGAUCACAGCUAAAUUUAUCCCAGAUGCUGCAUCUGAUCAAGCACAAUAACUGAAGAUUUGGUCGGUGAGCGCAAGACAGUUAUGUGAGCUAGCUGCAAUAACAUAUAUAUCAUGCUAGCUGUGCAAAGAGUGAUGGCUGACCAAAGAAUAAUCCAUGUGCAUAGCUCAUGUGGAGCCCCUUGAAGGGAGGGUUUCAGGAGCUAGAAUAGUGACCAUUUCUUGCUUGGAGAAAUGCAAAGGGAUGGUUAGUUUAUCGGCAUUGCGCCAUGUGAUGGCUUAUUCCAUCAGUUGAGAGCAGCACUUGAGUUCAUGUGGCCUGUCUCCCAUGGUGAUCUUGCAAGGUUUCACAAAGCACAAGUUGUGCCUUGUUCAUAUUUUUCUAUCCCCCUCCUCUUUUGUCUUAGGACCACUCAUUUCUUGGAUCUGCUGCACUUCGGUCGCCGCGCCCAUCCUGUCAAAAUGAUUAGAUUCAGAGACAACACUUGUUUCAGGGGAAAAAAAAUACUGAACUACUGACUAGAGUGUGACUGUGUUGUUGUGUGAAGUGUACCAGGACCAGACUAGGUAAUAACCAGCCAUAUGUCCCU
RNAcentral lists this small RNA (766 nucleotides) under Oryza sativa Japonica Group (Japanese rice). RNAcentral's name for it is "sRNA Os11g0528924". The record is from RNAcentral. Lineage: Eukaryota; Viridiplantae; Streptophyta; Magnoliopsida; Poales; Poaceae.